AACCCACUGGGGCCCACCUGGGGCUGUUUUGGGCAGCCCGUUGUUGGGAUGUGAAUGGGCUAACCGAUUGGGGCCCGCGAGACAUUGCUAUUAUGGCUGGGCUAACCAACUGGGGCCUGAGAGGGGAGUUGAUGGGCUUUUCAACGUUAACUUGCAUAAAGUAUUAAUUUCUAGAGACAGCAAAUAUUUUAAAAAUUACUUUAUUUGAAUCAAUAUAAAUUAGAAAUAUUUGAUCGACGCUAUAAAAACACCAAAUGAAAUAAUAUAUGGCUACUAAGUGAUAAAAAAAAAUAUUUUAGUCUUAAAUCGAUUUAUUUGAAUAUAUAUACAUAUAUAUUUUAAACAGUUCUGCUUUGGCCCCAAUCACCCUAAAUGGAUUGGGCUGAACGUAGGACUGCCUAUUAGAAUGCGUAACAAGCACAUGCAGCAGCACAGUGGCGAAAGGCCAAGCCAUGUACACAGCUGCGCACAAUUGGCGAUCGGACAAAGUACGAGCUAACAGGAACAAGGAACGAGCUCACUAAUUCUCGCGAGAGCGGCAAGAAGUUCGCGCUCUUUUCAACGUUGAGAUCGCACAAGGAACAAACAGACAGAGCAGACUGACAAAAGAAUCUAGCACAGUUAAUCUUCAUUAUCGGUGUCCUUUGUGAGCGACUUGGGAGGACGGACAGUGGAUGAAGCCACAAGGAGAAUGAUGGGAUAUGUUCUCACAAAUCCACUCUCCCUCCAAUUCAAUCUGAUAGGGCGUCAUGGGAAGAGGGCGUUUGGGACCUCCAGGGUUUUCGAACUGGUCUAUCGUGCUUUGAAGAACAAUACCCGGACAUCAGCCAUAAACAAAAAGGAGUUUGAAAAAGCGGUCUCCAAAUGGCUGAGCAAUGGGAGGGACCGAGAUGGUAAUCGUGCCAAAAGAGCCAUGGCAGAGAGGGCCAGAACAGCUAGUUUAGAUAGUUAGUGUUUUAUGUAGGUUUUAAAUGUAGUUUUUGUCUGUAAGUGGCACUAGGCCAUGUCCCACUAUAUGUAAUUCAAUGUAAGUUUAUUAUUUUUCCUGUAUGAGCCACCAUUACCCUCAGGUGCAUUUGUGCAUUGCACAGGCCAAAAAGGGGAUGGGAAAGGGCCAUCACCCACUCACUUGGUCUGUGCUCUUCACAUCUGUACCAGAGGUUCCAGUUCAUGGGAGGGGCAGUAAGGGGAUGGUACUGGGCCAUCACCCACUACACUGCUUCUCCUGUGGACUGGGACGGUAUUGGUUGAUACUCUUCCUAAGGUAAGCAAGGGAAGCUUUUGAAACUCACGGGAUGUAUAGUCUGUGUGUUAAAUAUGUGAAUAGGUCAUCAAUUUAAUGUAAAAAAUCAUUUUUUGUGCCAAUUUUCUGGGUGUGAACUUAACAAGUAUGACAUGUAGUCUUUAUGCCGUGCAUAUUUUGUGUAAUCAACUCCCAGUAGGAAAAGUAACCUUCUGUAACUCACACGAUUUGUAGUAUAGGUAACAAAUAUGUGCACAAGUCUUUCAUUUAGUAUAAAAAAAUCAUUUGUUGUCCCGAUUCCCCCAUUCUGUACUUAGCCAACUUUUAUAAGAAAUAUGACGUAGUCCUCAUUGUAGUCCAGAUUUUGUGUAAUCAACUCCUCCUAAGGUGUGCAGGGGAACCUUCUGUAACUCACACGAUUUGUAGUAUAGGUGAAUAGGUCAUCAAUUUAAUGUAAAAAAUCAUUUUUUGUGCCAAUUUUCUGCGUGUGAACUUAACAAGUAUGACAUGUAGUCUUUAUGCCGUGCAUAUUUUGUGUAAUCAACUCCCAGUAGGAAAAGUAACCUUCUGUAACUCACACGAUUUGUAGUAUAGGUAACAAAUAUGUGCACAAGUCUUUCAUUUAGUAUAAAAAAUCAUUUGUUGUCCCGAUUCCCCCAUUCUGUACUUAGCCAACUUUUAUAAGAAAUAUGACGUAGUCCUCAUUGUAGUCCAUAUUUUGUGUAAUCAACUCCUCCUAAGGUGUGCAGGGGAACCUUCUGUAACUCACACGAUUUGUAGUAUAGGUAUCAAAUAUGUCUACAGGUCUUUAAUUUAAAUGAAUAUUUUGUGAAGAAAAUGACAUAAUUGUUUGUCAUGUAACAAAGAGAAGCUACUCUCGCUCCUCAAGAGCAGAACGUGAUUCGGAAAUACCCAACUAACUGUACAUUAUUUCUCCUUCAUUUACAAUGGUGAGAAAGCUUUUGUUUCUGUUUGACUGUGACUGUCCACAAAUUUGAAGUGUUUUAUUCAUUCUGAGAAAAGAUUGUUCUGUUGACAACUUUCUAGUGGAUUAUGCUAUCUCUGAGUUUGUAUGAAAUAAAUUUUGGAGUAGUUCUACAAAAAUAUGAAAUGUGUUUGUCAGUGUACACAGAAUACAUAAGCAAUGGCAGAAAUUGCAUGUUCCAUUCCGGUCAGCAUGAAGGAAAAGUUUUGUAAAUUAUCUGUUCUCAAUCUUAAUCAAGGUUGGUGGCUUUCCUCCCUUGUAACUGGCAUGUGGGACCCUCUAAAAUGGCGCCAGAUCCACUU
Liolophura sinensis is the source of this 2530-nucleotide long non-coding RNA. RefSeq lists it as uncharacterized. Lineage: Eukaryota; Metazoa; Mollusca; Polyplacophora; Chitonida; Chitonidae. The transcript is spliced from 3 exons. The record is from RefSeq and is a predicted model, not a curated record.